GAACCUGUUGCAUUCAGCAGAAAAAAGGCAACAGGACAGAAAGUCCUUGAGGACAAGAUGUGGUGGAUACUGUCAUCAAUAUCAAGGCAGGCGAAGAAAAAUCCUGGAUUGAUUCCAUUAAUUGGAUUUACUGGACUGGGAAUUACCAACGCAGCUCUCUACCUGGUAAAGCUUACCCUGUUCAACCCAGAUAUAAGCUGGGUGAAGAAGAAGGAACCAGAGCCUUGGUAUAAAUUAGACUGAGAGCUUUUGAGACAAGUUGAAGGCCAUGAGCUGCUUUAAUAAUGGAACAGGAUCUGAAAACCUCCUGUCUGUGAAGACAUUGGUCCCUGCCUGACAUAACUGCUGGAACACAUUAUUUCAUGUUGCACAGACACAUUUGAAGAUAAAGUCCCUUUUUUUUCCACACUUUUUUUUCUGCCUUAUUGAAAAGACAGGAGAAUGCUGAGAAUUAGUUCCAUGGUAGAUUGAGCACUAAAGGUUGCCUCCCCUUGUAUUAAAAUACAACCACAACAACUCCCAGCAUGCUAUGACAUAAAGGUGUAACUGAACCCUUUUGCUUUGUAUGUACCCAGACACUCAUUGUAAGUAUCGUAAGCUGUUAGCAGAUCGUUUAGGCAAAAUGUAAGUUUAGCUUGACAUUUUAUACUUACUUAGUAUUCUACACUUUUUAGUAGAACUAUUUAUUAAUGAUGUAAGGCAGCCAUGUGCAAUGUGUACCUUUCAAGAUGUAGUUGUAUUACAACCCUGGGCUUGAUGUAGAUCAUCCAUAUAUGGGGCCACAGGCAGAUGUCCUAGAUGUUAAGUGGGGGUUUGCAUCUGACGAGUAUAGUAUAAAAGAAACGUAUGUUUGAAGAAAGUAAUGUGUGGUGUAUAAAUAAAUACUAAUAAUUGA
Molecule: long non-coding RNA, 895 nt
Organism: Xenopus laevis (African clawed frog)
Lineage: Eukaryota; Metazoa; Chordata; Amphibia; Anura; Pipidae
Exons: 4
Source: RefSeq, a predicted model, not a curated record